Salmo salar (Atlantic salmon) is the source of this 5118-nucleotide non-coding RNA. Lineage: Eukaryota; Metazoa; Chordata; Actinopteri; Salmoniformes; Salmonidae. The record is from RefSeq and is a predicted model, not a curated record.
CAUCAGAGAGGUACCAGUGGAGACGCAUAUCAGAGCAACUACUCAACUACUAGUCACUGACGUUAGAAUAAAUCAUACAGUAGAUAUUACCAUUAGGAGUCAGUUAGAAAGGUAAUCAUACAGUAGAUAUUACCAUUAGGAGUCAGUUAGAAAGGUAAUUAUACAGUAAGUUAAUACUGUAAGUAAAAGUAAGUUAGAAUCAUAGAUAUUACAAUACCAGGUCAGUCAGACUGAAUUAGUUCAUUCAUUGAUUGAUUGGGGUAAUCAUUGAUAUUCGGUACGGUUAGUUAAGAUGGCCAAUUACGUCAACAAACAGGUGAUUGAAUUAAACAAAGUUAAUGAAGAAAACCGGAACAGAGCAACGAGGAGCGUGAAGACUGAGACCCAUCUCUCAGAUGGAAGACUACGACACUACAGGCUGGCUGCUGUGUGUUUUGGAGUGCUGUGUGUUCUACAAGUCAUUCUGAACAUCUCCCUAAGGCUGGCUUUCUAUAAUAGAGGCAAUGUGACUAAAGAGAGAGACCAGCUUCAGAAGGAAAGAGAUGAUCUCAUGAGAAAGUUCUCUAAUCUGAAACAAACCUGUCCUGAAGGCUGGCAGAAGUUUGAAUCCAGUUGGUACUUCAUCUCUACUGAGACUAAAACCUGGAAGGAGAGCAGACAGGACUGUCUGGAGAGAGGAGCAGACCUGGUGAUCAUAAACAGUGAUAAGGAACAGGAGUUUCUCAUUGGCCUCAAUAAGGGAGCUUGGAUUGGUCUGACUGACUCUGUUACUGAGGGGACAUGGACAUGGGUGGACGUCACCCCACUGACCAUAAGUUACUGGCACUCACAGCAGCCUGAUAAUGGUCGUGUCGACCCAAAAAAUGGGGAGGAGGACUGUGUUGAGCUGAACACAGAAACAUGGCCUCCUGCAAAGGCAUGGAAUGACCAGUCAUGUUCAGACAAUCGUCACUGGAUCUGUGAGAAAGUGGUUUAACAACACCAUGACAACAGAGGAGACUGGUGGCAGGACGAGCACACAUACAGCACCCUACAGUGCACACUUCAUUCUCUCUUUCUAAGACACACCAACACACUGUAGGUACUGUACUGUGGGGCAAAACAACCUGAUAAUGUGGUGUACCAGGAUAUACUGUAACUAGGACUGUGCUGAGUGUCAUGAUCGUUGUUAGAAAUGGACCAAGGCGCAGCGUGCGUAGAGCUCCACAUGUUUUAAUAAAUUAAACUCACCAAAAACAAUACAGACCAAAACGAAACGUGCCGCUAAUGUAGUGCUCGCAGGCAACUAGACAUAGACAAGAUCCCACAACCACAGUGGGGAAAAGGCUGCCUAAAUAUGAUCCCCAAUCAGAGACAAUGAUAGACAGCUGCCUCUGAUUGGGAACCAUACCCGGCCAACAUAGAAAUGAAAAAACUAGACUACCCACCCUAGUCACACCCUGACCUAACCAAAAUAGAGAAUAAAAAGGAUCUCUAAGGUCAGGGCGUGACACUGAGGUUAAAAUGGGGUAUUCUAAGCCUGUAUAUAAAUAUUCUGACAUAUCAUUUACCUCUCAACAUAACUGGAUUUGUGAAGAGUUAUACAGUAGCUCAUUAUAUAGUAGUGCUACAGUGCUAAUGCAUCUCUCUCUAGUUAAACAGUGUGUAGACAUACUGUCAUCUGUAAAAUGCUUGCAUUCAUUGUUUUAAAUAGAAACACGUUAUGUGAUUUGCCAUAGGCUUGUGCUUUUUUCAUAAUCAAUUAUUAGCAUAAACCACUGUAGUAAGAAGAUGAACUAAGGCUCAAAUUAAGUAAGAAAGGAACCUAGCAGGUUUACCAGCUUCCUGAUUGAAUGUGAUUGGAUUGUUAAAACAAUGUGACUUGGAGUUGGACAGAGACAGAAGGCAGAACAGUACUGAGAGGAUACAUGCUGCACGCAGGCAGACACACACACACACACACAGACACACACACAGACACACGUGUGAAGUUCCCGUUUUCUGAUAAAGAUGCAGACAGAUGUCCCACACACACACACACACCUCUGAAUAACUCUUCACACUGAUGUCACACACAGACAGCGUAGAUAAAAGAAAAGGGCCCCUAUCGAUGACAUAGAGAGAGUACGAGCCCUAAUGUGAACUCCAUUUGAAGGCUGGGGAAGCCACAAACAGGCCUGUCAAAGUGAUAGGAUGAAAGGCUGCACUUGUCAUUACUUGUUUUCAUGAAGCUAUCAUGUUAUAUCACACUGUUUAGAAUAUCCUGUCAUGUUUACCUACCUGAUUGAAGGCGAUUGGAUACUUUAAAAAUGAUACUGUAGUGGACAACAGACAGAGAUCAGAGAGGUACCUGGUGGAGAUGCACAUCAGAGUAACUACUCAACUACUAGUCACUGAAGUUAGAAUCAUACAGUAGAUAUUACCAUUAGGAGUCAGUUAGAAAGGUAAUCAUACAGUAGAUAUUACCAUUAGGAGUCAGUUAGAAAGGUAAUUAUACAGUAGAUAUUACCAUUAGGAGUCAGAUAGAAAGGUAAUCAUACAGUAGAUAUUACCAUUAGGAGUCAGUUAGAAAGGUAAUGAUACAGUAGAUAUUACCAUUAGGAGUCAGUUAGAAAGGUAAUCAUACAGUAGAUAUUACCAUUAUUAGUCAGUUAGAAAGGUAAUGAUACAGUAGAUAUUACCAUUAGGAGUCAAUUAGAAAGGUAAUCAUACAGCAAGAUAAUACUGUAAGUAAAAGUAAGUUAGAAUCAUAUAUAUUACAAUACGAGGUCAGACAGACCUAAUUGAUUGAUUGGGGUAAUCAUUGCUAUUCGGUACGUAUUAGUUAAGAUGGCCGACUAAUUCAACAAACAGGCGAUUGAAUUAAACUAAGUUAAUGAAGAAAACCAGAACAGAGCAACGAGGAGCGUGAAGACUGAGACCCAUCUCUCAGGUACAAAGAAUUAUCUCAAAUUCAUAGACAGAGCUACAGUAUGUAUGCAAGGACCGACCAUCCACGAGAUCUAAAUGAUAGUUUUAACUAUUUGAGGCUACACAGUGUUUGUUUACAAUUCCAUGGUAUAUCAAGCUUAUAUUUUGAGUCCUGAUGGGGUUAGACUGUUAAACUAAAGUCAUGAGGCAAUUAUAAAUUACAUUCUUCAAGAAUCCAUGGGGAAAUAUUAUUAUUUUAAAAGUUAAAUAAAAUGUGAUAAAACAAUCCCUUAUUGCCCCUUUAAAUCAUGCUAUUGCUAUAUUGUGUAAUUUCUUUAUACAGUAGCUUCCUGUUUAUCAGAUUUAAGAUGACCGCAAGCUUGAGCAAACUGUUGCUGCCAACUCUCGAUGGGGGAAAACCAACAGUGCAAUGGAAAUGUUUGGCUCUCAGAAUUCUAAUCAUAAUCAUCAUAUCACUCAAUACCAAUUUUCAAUCUUAAGAUGUACAGUUCAUUAUGUAGCAUUUCUUGUAGGCUGUACACAAAUCUCUCUCUCUUUCCCUCUACCUCUUUUUAUUAGCAGCAUGUCAUGUGACCUCCCAUGCUUCUGCUAAGUUUAUUUAUUUUUAUUAUUUUUGUCCUAUGAGUUUUUCCAGCUUCCUGAUUGAAUGUGAGUCACGGAGUGUGAAUCAUAAUGUCACUUCCUUAUGAACAAUGUCACAAAUAGGCCUUGCGAAAUAUGACGUCUUGCUUGAAAGUGAUUGGAUACUUAAAACGUUCUUUCAAUUGCAGUCAAUGACAAACAGACAAGACAGACAACAAUGGAGAGCCAUAUCAGAGCAACUACUCAACUACUUGUCAUUGAAGUUAGAAUCAUACAGCAGAUAUUACCAUUGGGAGUCAGUUAGAAAGGUAAUCAUAAGUAAGUCAAUACUGUAAGUAAAAGUAAGUUAGAAUCAUAGAUAUUACAAUAAGAGGUCAGACAGACUGAAUUUGUUGAUUAAUUGAUUGAUUGGGGUAAUCAUUAAUAUUCGGUUCAGUUACUUGAGAUGGCCGACUACGUCAACAAACAGAUGAUUGAAUUAAACAAAGUUAAUGAAGAAAACCAGAACAGAGCAACGAGGAGCGUGAAGACUGAGACCCAUCUCAUAGAUGAGCACAUUCCUGCUGCGUUUUGGUCCUCCAUUCCAGACGACAACCGUGACAACUGAUGGAAGACUAAGACUCUACAGGCUGGCUGCUGUGUGUUUUGGAGUGCUGUGUGUUCUACAAGUCAUUCUCAACAUCUCCCUGAGACUGGCUUUCUAUAACAGGGGCUAUGUGACUGCAGAGAAAGACGUGCUACAGACCUGUUACAACACUAUGACUGAAGAGAGAGACCAGCUACAGACCAGUUACAACACCCUGACUAAAGAGAGAGACCAGCUACAGACCAGUAGUAACACCCUGACUAAGGAGAGAGACCAGCUUCAGAAGGAGAGAUAUGAUCUUAUGACAAAGUUCUCUAAUCUGAUUACUGGUACACACUGCAGCCUGAUAAUUAUGGUGCCAACCCAGCAAAUCGGGAGGAGGAUUGUGUUGAGCUGAACACAGAAUCAUGGCAUCCUGUAAAGGCAUGAAAUGACCUGUCAUGUUUAAACAAUCGUUACUGGAUUUGUGAGAAAGUAGUUUAACAACACCAUGAGAACAGAGGAGGCUGGUAGGAGAACUGAAAGGAAUUUUAUAAUAUCUGUACAUUACAAUUCUACAUGUGAUUCCAAAAGUACAAUGAUUCAUGUUUUGCUUGAGCUUGAGAUUAAGAAUCAGUGAUAGACCUUGCAAGUGCAUGAAAAGGUCAACUGUACAAAGUCAUAUGUCUGUGUGUUGAAACUAUACUUUGGGUAACAGAUGGAUAAAGGGAACCAAGAGUUCCUGUUGUUGCUAUAUUCCAGUCUUACUUCUGCUUGCACAUGAUAGCAAUAAUGGGAAGAGGGAUUGGGAAACUGACUGCCAAUAACACAAUAAACUAAACUCUGCCUAGCAGAGACAUCUUUGUAUUAGCAACUAUUAAUUAUGAGCUUAUAUGGUAUUAAAGUUAAGGGACAUCACCCCUGGCGGUGGGAUCCUCAGUAGGGGAUAAAACUGAAAAACACCAUCUUUUGUGCUGAGUGUGUUACUUGAAAAUUACUGUAAGUGUAUACCCCGGGUUGCAAUCCGGCUUGAAAUCCUUAUUAAACAAACUAACCUCUGA